UACGUAGGGCGCAAGCGUUGUCCGGAAUUAUUGGGCGUAAAGAGCUCGUAGGCGGUUUGUCGCGUCUGCUGUGAAAACCUAAGGCUCAACCUUGGGCUUGCAGUGGGUAGGGGCAGACUAGAGUGCGGUAGGGGUGACUGGAAUUCCUGGUGUAGCGGUGGAAUGCGCAGAUAUCAGGAGGAACACCGAUGGCGAAGGCAGGUCACUGGGCCGCAACUGACGCUGAGGAGCGAAAGCAUGGGGAGCGAACAGG
Molecule: ribosomal RNA, 253 nt
Filed under: uncultured bacterium
Lineage: Bacteria
Description: partial 16S ribosomal RNA
Rfam family: Bacterial small subunit ribosomal RNA
Source: RNAcentral